AAGGUAGCAUAAUCAUUUGCCUCUUAAUUAGUGGCUAGUAUGAAUGGACACACGCAAGUACCCCUGUCUCACUAAUAUAAAUACAAAUUAACAAUCAGGUGAAGAGGCCUGAAUAAAAUAAAAAGACAAAAAGACCCUAUGGAGCUUUAUUUAAACACCCAGACCAGACCAAUCCCACAAUACCUCACCCCGGGUAAAUAAAUUUAGUUGGGGCGACUAAGGAAAACUAUAAAUCUUCCUCCCUAAAAAGAAAAUAAAUCCCCACGGAUCCGUUAUACGAAUAAAGACACAGCUACCCUAGGGAUAACAGGCUAAUUCUUCUCGAGAGCCCAAAUUGACAGAAGAGAUUGGCACCUCGAUGUUGGCUUAGGGUUUCUAUAAGAUGCAGAAGUCUUAUAAGUGGGUUUGUUCAACCCUUAAAACCCUACGUGAUCUGA
Molecule: ribosomal RNA, 437 nt
Filed under: Laonice sp. NHM_1662
Lineage: Eukaryota; Metazoa; Annelida; Polychaeta; Spionida; Spionidae
Description: partial large subunit ribosomal RNA
Rfam family: Bacterial large subunit ribosomal RNA
Source: RNAcentral